GCACUUUAAGCAGUGAAGAAGACUCUUCGGUUAAUACCCGGAGACGAUGACAUUAGCUGCAGAAUAAGCACCGGCUAACUCUGUGCCAGCAGCCGCGGUAAUACAGAGGGUGCAAGCGUUAAUCGGAAUUACUGGGCGUAAAGCGAGCGUAGGUGGCUUGAUAAGUCAGAUGUGAAAUCCCCGGGCUUAACCUGGGAACUGCAUCUGAUACUGUUAGGCUAGAGUAGGUGAGAGGAAGGUAGAAUUCCAGGUGUAGCGGUGAAAUGCGUAGAGAUCUGGAGGAAUACCGAUGGCGAAGGCAGCCUUCUGGCAUCAUACUGACACUGAGGCUCGAAAGCGUGGGUAGCAAACAGGAUUAGAUACCCUGGUAGUCCACGCCGUAAACGAUGUCUACUAGUCGUUGG
This 404-nucleotide ribosomal RNA is filed under the name uncultured bacterium. Its description in RNAcentral is "bacterial SSU rRNA". It matches the Rfam family "Bacterial small subunit ribosomal RNA", at positions 430 to 826 of the family's 1533-position model. The record is from RNAcentral.